RNAcentral lists this ribosomal RNA (302 nucleotides) under uncultured soil bacterium. RNAcentral's name for it is "bacterial SSU rRNA". It matches the Rfam family "Bacterial small subunit ribosomal RNA", at positions 26 to 322 of the family's 1533-position model. The record is from RNAcentral.
AGAGUGAACGCUGGCGGUAGGCCUAACACAUGCAAGUCGAACGGCAGCACAGUAAGAGCUUGCUCUUAUGGGUGGCGAGUGGCGGACGGGUGAGGAAUACAUCGGAAUCUACCUUUUCGUGGGGGAUAACGUAGGGAAACUUACGCUAAUACCGCAUAAGACCUUCGGGUGAAAGCCGGGGACCUUCGGGCCUGGCGCGGAUAGAUGAGCCGAUGUCGGAUUAGCUUGUUGGCGGGGUAAAAGCCCACCAAGGCGACGAUCCGUAGCUGGUCUGAGAGGAUGAUCAGCCACACUGGAACUGA